CUUGAAGGAGGAGCAGCCCCUUCAAAACCGAGCUGUGUGCCCGGGCUGAGCCCCCACCGCGCUCUGCACGACCCCCGCUGCGGCCCCGGCUGCCGGCCCGGCCUGCCGCGGCUCUGCACGGCCCCGCCACGGCUGGCAUCCAGCGAGGCCACCGUGACCCCGGGAGCUGCAGUGUGGCACUGCGUGUAUUUGACAAGCUGAGUCCGACACUCAGUGUGCAGAGUGUCAGUUUGUCAAAUACCCCAAGUGAGGCACUGCUGAGCAACGCGACGCCGAGGGUGCAGCCCUUUCCUCCUGCUCUGGCAGGAGCCUUCCUCUCCAGGCUCGGCGCCUCUGCAGAAAUCCACCGAGGUACUGAGCAGCCCAUCCCAUUGUUCCACAACACCUGAAGGAUCCUGUGCUGCCAGGUUUCCCUUCCACCCCGGUUUUGGAAGUAUCUGUUGGGCUAUCCCUCCCAACAGUAAAUCAGAGCAGAAGUGCAAUUUCUCUGCACUGUGAAGACAGGGAAUUGUGCCCUGGGUCCUUGUUGUUUGCAUCCAAAUACAAUGCUGUUCUCUUACCCAGCAUUAACUAGCCAGCUGUAAAUUAAGCUCAGUUAACAAGGAUCCUGGCAACUAUAAUCACAACAUCAUGGCUAAUGGCAGCAUUAUCCAUAAUAAAGAAUCUUGCCUUUGCACAUGUAGUAAUCUUUUUUAAUAUGGAGUACAAACUAAUGAGGCUGCUCAUUAACUUCCCUCUGGCCCAUUAGCCUGUGAAAAAUGCAUGUUGGUUCAAUCUGUUUUAAAUUAGGCCAUGGAGUCCAUUGCCUCUUCUGGGAGCCUUGCUAUUUGGAGAAGACUUCUUGUCUUUGCAUGGUUAUUCCUAGUCAGCACUUGCAGCAAGGUUGCCUAUUCUGUUGUUUAAUUAAAGUAAUUGCCUCUAAAUCAUCCACUUGAAGAUGUAAUGAUUGCUAAGUGUUUUCAGUAACUGACUUGUAGCAUUUCAGAUAUGUCAGGGUAGGGGAAUGACAGUGGCAGCAUGCAGCCCAAUUUUACAAAUCAAACUCUCUGAAAGCAUUUGACAUGGAAAACUGAAGAAUAAAAAAAAAAAUCCCAAGACUCUACUGACUAGUUUUAGGACAGUACCACCAGCAAAUUUUACAAUAUUUGAGAGCAUUAAUAAGCAUUUAUUAAUGCUCUCAAAAAAAAAAAAAACAACCCAAAUUGGGUUUUUUGUCACAACUAUUUCUUAGUAAAUACUUUGAAGAAGCUGGAGUUUGUACUAAGCUGGAACCCAUGAAGGUAUGUCAUUGCCUGAGCAAAUUGUGUUCUGCUUUUUGAAUAGCUUGUGCACUUCUGGACAAACAUGGUCCACCAGUGGUCAGAAAUGGCCCUACUCCUUAUGACUCACACUCCCAUGGUCUCUCUCAAGCACCUCCUCAUGACUCACAGACAUCACCCUGAUUUUUAUCACUGAGGUUAGCUUCAAAAGAGAACAAGGUCUAUGAUUUGAGGCUUUGCCUUGUCCCCAGUGGAUCUUCCAUGAAGCACACAGCCAUGUCAGCUCCAAGCCCUGCUGUCACUCAAACCUUGAGGUUUCAACAGACCCAACCUCCUUUGCACCACAGCUGGCCAAGGGUUUGUUUAUGCCCUUCCUUCUUGUUUUCUCAUGCAUUUUCAAUAUUUUCUUCAGUAGUUUGCCCUCUGCUUUUUAGACAACUCUCCCCUUCAGCUCCCUGAUCCUUCCAGAUGACUGGGGUGAAGGGGAAGAAAGCAAACCCUUUCCUCUCUUACAAGAACAAGCAUCAAAUUACAGUGGUACAAAUUUCUCUGGGACUUCAUCUCCCACCUUCCUGCUCUGAAGUAUGGUACAAACCCAGCAGUUGUAAAAGCCACCAGGUCCCCUCCAUGGGACAGGCACUGCAAGGGGAACUGCGAGUCCCGUGACACUGUGCUGGCCACUUGAGAUAGUGUGUUUUUGGGAGGCAGUAUCCUUUCAGGGCAGAAGCUGAGCUUUUCCUUCCCUUCUGGAGCAGAGCUCAGCAAAUGAGCACAGUGCAAGGAAAGGAGAAGUUUUCUGGUUUGAUAGUGAAGCAACACAGCAGAACUCUCUGUGGCUUUCAGAAGAAAAACGUUCUGUUGCCAACAGGUUUUACUAGAAGCAUGGAAAACAUGCUAAAAGUAAAAUAAAGAAAUAAUCACACAUUUGUUACCCAGGGAAUAACACCUCGGCACUGGUGACAGGCUUCUAAUGUUCCCACUCUUCUGCUAUUUGUGACCAAAGUCCUGUUGCUGCCUUAACUAGAGGAGUGACAACAUGGAGUCCAUGGGGGCUGGUCCAUCUGGGUCCAUCUGCUCCCCCUUUCUUAACUCCUGUUGCCUUCUUCCUCUGUAGCUUCUCCCAGGCUUCAUGUCUUCUGAGGAAGGUGUCCAGACCUUGUCAGAGCAGAUCAGUGCUGGGAGGAAUCACAAGAUGGAAAAACCAUGGUGUUACAUAGUCAAUGAGUGAACCUGGAGCUCAGAGCUUUUAACAGCAGGAAAACUUGCACAGAAUACCAAGCUAAUUGAAAAUGAAUGAGGAUGAUAUUUGUGGGGGAAAGGAGAGUGCCAUGUCAUGUGUUUUGGGCCUAGAUUAGCUGAGGUAAGGAUGGGGAAGCUGAGAAAUUUUCAGUUCCCUUCCCACCCAGUGUUGACCUUGCACCACAUGCUACUGCCCUGCCUGAGCAUGGCUGCAGCUCUCCAUUCCCCUCAGCUCCUUUGUUCUGCACCACCCCUAGAACUGCUGAUGCCAGCAGCUUCUGCAGCAUGGGAUCUUCAGGGCUGGCUGCCAUGAGUCCCACAGGGACAGACUGGAUUCUAUCUGCCUCCCUGGAGUGUAGCCUAACAGCCAGCACAGCCCUCCCUGCAUGGCUGUCACUGUGCUUGUGAAGCCCUCACAAUACAGGCAGGAGAUUUUUUUUCUCUGAUCUUUCCCCCCUCACAUCCUGCAGUUCGGAGCUGUAAAGGUGCAAGUGUGGCUCUACCCAGCACUCAGGCCACAAACAGCAAAGUGACCCUGCUGUUAGGCUGCUGACCCGAAAAGAGGUGGGUGAUUCAUGGCAGCAGAGACGAGCCUUGUGGGUGAAGUCAGGGCCAAGCAGGAGGAUGUGUGUGUGACUUGAGCUCAGCUGCUUCCCUAUGCUUUCCUUGCUGCACCCACUGAUAUAAAAAAAAGGCCAGUAAUUCUUACAAAUUUGGUUUGCCAAAGCCAGGAGGCAUUCCUCCUCCCUGCCAAGUCCCUGGAGGACAAAGGGAUGCUGGCGGGAGGCACAGAGAGGACAGGACUGACAGCAGCACUGCAGUACAGGCACUAUGCAAACAAUUAACAGUGACAAGGCAAAUCAGGCUGCUGAGUGACAGUGUACUGUAGGGAAUGCAAUGCAGCUGAAGGCAGGAACUGCAUCCAUGUUGCACACAGGUCAGCAUUAGUAAUCACACAGAUUGACUUACAUCCCCCAGAGUAAAUUGCUGUCAGCCUGUUGUAUUCAGAGAGGUCCCUUAAUCAUUAUCCAACUGCCUCAAAUUUCUCUCUAUUUUAUCAUGCCUCUGGCCCCCAUACUGUAAACAUUAAAUGCCAGCAUUUCCUUCAACAUCAGUUCUUGUUUUCCAGGAGAAAACCAGUGGGUGACAGUUCAGAGACUCAUUCCCUCUCUCUCUGAGCACUGAGCUCCAGUCUGAUAGCAAAAAUGGCAUUCCUGGGACAUCAACCUCCCCUCUGUGGUCCCUUUACCAUGCUGUAA
Molecule: long non-coding RNA, 3757 nt
Organism: Motacilla alba alba
Lineage: Eukaryota; Metazoa; Chordata; Aves; Passeriformes; Motacillidae
Exons: 2
Source: RefSeq, a predicted model, not a curated record